RNAcentral lists this transfer RNA (77 nucleotides) under Chloroflexota bacterium. RNAcentral describes it as "Chloroflexi bacterium tRNA-Val". It matches the Rfam family "tRNA". From Rfam's summary of the family: Transfer RNA (tRNA) molecules are approximately 80 nucleotides in length. Their secondary structure includes four short double-helical elements and three loops (D, anti-codon, and T loops). Further hydrogen bonds mediate the characteristic L-shaped molecular structure. tRNAs have two regions of fundamental functional importance: the anti-codon, which is responsible for specific mRNA codon recognition, and the 3' end, to which the tRNAs corresponding amino acid is attached (by aminoacyl-tRNA synthetases). tRNAs cope with the degeneracy of the genetic code in two manners: having more than one tRNA (with a specific anti-codon) for a particular amino acid; and 'wobble' base-pairing, i.e. permitting non-standard base-pairing at the 3rd anti-codon position. Lineage: Bacteria; Bacillati; Chloroflexota. RNAcentral also lists the same sequence under 3 other names. The record is from RNAcentral.
GGGCGAUUAGCUCAGCUGGUUAGAGUGCACGGUUCACAUCCGUGAGGUCACUGGUUCGAGUCCAGUAUCGCCCACCA